AGAGAUCUAUGCCAAAGAAGAAGCUUCUAACUUCACUCUUUAGCGGUUCAACUCCGUUAAAUUCUC
Molecule: transfer RNA, 66 nt
Filed under: Engaeus lengana
Lineage: Eukaryota; Metazoa; Arthropoda; Malacostraca; Decapoda; Parastacidae
Description: tRNA-Ser
Source: RNAcentral